RNAcentral lists this ribosomal RNA (482 nucleotides) under uncultured bacterium. RNAcentral describes it as "partial 16S ribosomal RNA". It matches the Rfam family "Bacterial small subunit ribosomal RNA", at positions 30 to 507 of the family's 1533-position model. The record is from RNAcentral.
AUUGAACGCUGGCGGCAUGCUUUACACAUGCAAGUCGAACGGUAACAGGCCGCAAGGUGCUGACGAGUGGCGCACGGGUGAGUAAUGCAUCGGAACGUGCCCAGUCGUGGGGGAUAACUACUCGAAAGAGUAGCUAAUACCGCAUACGAUCUAUGGAUGAAAGCGGGGGACCGUAAGGCCUCGCGCGAGUGGAUCGGCCGAUGUCAGAUUAGGUAGUUGGUGGGGUAAAGGCUCACCAAGCCAACGAUCUGUAGCUGGUCUGAGAGGACAACCAGCCACACUGGGACUGAGACACGGCCCAGACUCCUACGGGAGGCAGCAGUGGGGAAUUUUGGACAAUGGGCGCAAGCCUGAUCCAGCAAUGCCGCGUGCAGGAAGAAGGCCUUCGGGUUGUAAACUGCUUUUGUACGGAACGAAACGGCUCUGGUUAAUACCCGGGGCUAAUGACGGUACCGUAAGAAUAAGCACCGGCUAACUACGUG